CAUGAGUUGGCACCCACUGUUAACGUGGUUCAUGACUUUCUGUUUAAGCUGUGCCACCUGUUCCCUGAGCAUGUUGGCCGUGGACGCCAGCUCCGAGUUCUGAGCUUUCAAGGUUUUCACUUUUUCCUCCAGCCGGGCGAUUCUCUCCAGCUUCCUUUUUCGGCACUUGGAGGCAGCGAUGCGGUUCCUCAUGCGCUUCCUCUCUGCCUUGAUCCGCUCCUGGGACUCCAUGUCGAUGGGGGACAGGGGCGGCGUCUCGCCGGGCAUCUCGGGCACUGUCUGAGGCUCCUCCUUCAGGGCCUGCAGUCGCGGGUGCUGCACCGGCAUCUGCUGGGGCAAGUGGUGGGGCGGCUGCGGCGGCUGCUGCUGCUGCUGGGGUUGCGCGGGAAAGGCCAGGCCGGCCGCGCCGUAGGAGGGCGCCCCGCCGCCGCUGCUCAGCGCUCCGGGGUUGAAGUUGCUGAGGUUGGCGUAGACCGGCGGCUCGCUGUGCAGGCUGGCGCUGAAGCCGCCGCUGCCACUGCCCCCCGCCACCGAGGCCACCGCGGGAGCCACCAUGCCCGCCCCGCUGACCGGCUGCGCCGCCGACGUGACGCUGGGAUGUGUGUUCUGGCUGUGCAGCUCGGCCAGGGCGCGCACGAAACCCUCGGCGAAGCCCUCCUGCUCGUCUGUCACGUUCUUGGGGCACAAGAACUGGGUGGGGGUCGGCGUGGUGGUAAUGUGCCCAUUGCUGGACUGGAUGAUGAGGCGCUCCAGCUCGGGAGACGCCAGCUUGAGCAGCCCCACGUCGGGCGAGGUGAGGAGGUCCGAGUUCUUGGCGCGAAGGUGCGGCUUCAGGCUCCCCACUGGGUCGGCCAGGUUCAGGGUCAUACUCUGUUUCAGGAUCUUGGGGUUACUGUAGCCAUAAGCUCCGCUCUCGGACUGGAGGAACGAGGCGUUGAGGGCAUCGUCAUAGAAGGUCGUUUCCAUCUUUGCAGUCAUAGAACAGUCCGUCACUUCACGUGA
Molecule: long non-coding RNA, 1002 nt
Filed under: Callithrix jacchus (white-tufted-ear marmoset)
Lineage: Eukaryota; Metazoa; Chordata; Mammalia; Primates; Cebidae
Description: lncRNA (ENSCJAG00000042672.2)
Source: RNAcentral